AUUGAACGCUAGCGGCAAGCCUAACACAUGCAAGUCGAACGAGUGGCGGACGGGUGAGUAAUGUCUGGGAAACUGCCUGAUGGAGGGGGAUAACUACUGGAAACGGUAGCUAAUACCGCAUACCAUAGGAUGGGCCCAGAUGGGAUUAGCUAGUAGGUGGGGUAAAGGCAUACCAAGGCGACGAUCCCUAGCUGGUCUGAGAGGAUGACCAGCCACACGGGAACUGAGACACGGCCCAGACUCCUACGGGAGGCAGCAGUAGGGAAUUUUCGGCAAUGGGCGAAACUCUGACCGAGCCACGCCGCGUGAGUGAAGAAGGUUUUCGGAUCGUAAAACUCUGUUGUCAGAGAAGCGGUAUCUAACCAGAAAGCAACGGCUAACUACGUGCCAGCAGCCGCGGUAAUAC
This 406-nucleotide ribosomal RNA is filed under the name uncultured bacterium. RNAcentral's name for it is "partial 16S ribosomal RNA". It matches the Rfam family "Bacterial small subunit ribosomal RNA", at positions 30 to 526 of the family's 1533-position model. The record is from RNAcentral.